RNAcentral lists this ribosomal RNA (433 nucleotides) under uncultured bacterium. RNAcentral describes it as "partial 16S ribosomal RNA". It matches the Rfam family "Bacterial small subunit ribosomal RNA", at positions 29 to 507 of the family's 1533-position model. The record is from RNAcentral.
AACGAACGCUGGCGGCAGGCCUAACACAUGCAAGUCGAGCGGACCCUUCGGGGUUAGCGGCGGACGGGUGAGUAACGCGUGGGAAUAUGCCCUUCUCUACGGAAUAGUCCUGGGAAACUGGGGGUAAUACCGUAUACGCCCUUUGGGGGAAAGAUUUAUCGGGGAAUGAUUAGCCCGCGUUGGAUUAGGUAGUUGGUGGGGUAAUGGCCUACCAAGCCGACGAUCCAUAGCUGGUUUGAGAGGAUGAUCAGCCACACUGGGACUGAGACACGGCCCAGACUCCUACGGGAGGCAGCAGUGGGGAAUCUUAGACAAUGGGGGCAACCCUGAUCUAGCCAUGCCGCGUGGGUGAUGAAGGCCUUAGGGUUGUAAAGCUCUUUCAGCUGGGAAGAUAAUGACGGUACCAGCAGAAGAAGCCCCGGCUAACUCCGUG